This 460-nucleotide ribosomal RNA is filed under the name uncultured bacterium. RNAcentral's name for it is "partial 16S ribosomal RNA". It matches the Rfam family "Bacterial small subunit ribosomal RNA", at positions 338 to 795 of the family's 1533-position model. The record is from RNAcentral.
CCUACGGGAGACAGCAGUGAGGAAUAUUGGUCAAUGGCCGGAAGGCUGAACCAGCCAUGCCGCGUGAAGGUCAGUGCCCUAUGGGCGUUAAACUUCUUUUGUGCGGGAGCAAUAAUGGUCACGUGUGGCCAGACGAGAGUACCGUACGAAUAAGCAUCGGCUAACUCCGUGCCAGCAGCCGCGGUAAUACGGGGGAUGCAAGCGUUAUCCGGAUUUAUUGGGUUUAAAGGGUGCGUAGGCUGGGAGGUAAGUCAGCGGUGAAAUGCCCCCGCUCAACGGGGUGAAGUGCCAUUGAUACUGCCUGGCUGGAAUGCGGAUGCGGUGGGAGGAAUGUGUGGUGUAGCGGUGAAAUGCAUAGAUAUCACACAGAACACCGAUUGCGAAGGCAUCUCACGAAUCCGCGAUUGACGCUGAUGCACGAAAGCGUGGGUAUCAAACAGGAUUAGAUACCCUAGUAGUC